Molecule: ribosomal RNA, 236 nt
Filed under: uncultured bacterium
Lineage: Bacteria
Description: partial 16S ribosomal RNA
Rfam family: Bacterial small subunit ribosomal RNA
Source: RNAcentral
GACGAACGCUGGCGGCGUGCUUAACACAUGCAAGUCGAACGGACCGCUCUAGCUUGCUGGGGUUGGUUAGUGGCGAACGGGUGAGUAACACGUGAGUAAUCUGCCCUGGACUUUGGGAUAAGCACUUGAAAGGGUGUCUAAUACUGGUUAUUCUGCAUUGGUCGCAUGGCUGGUGUGGGAAAGGUUUUUUCUGGUUUGGGAUGGGCUCGCGGCUUAUCAGCUUGUUGGUGGGGUAA